AUGGCUCAUUAAAUCAGUUAUCGUUUAUUUGAUAGUACCUUACCACUUGGAUAACCGUGGUAAUUCUAGAGCUAAUACAUGCUAAAAACCCCGACUUCGGAAGGGGUGUGUUUAUUAGAUAAAAAACCAAUGCCCUUCGGGGCUCUUUGGUGAUUCAUGAUAACCUAACGGAUCGCAUGGCCUUGCGCCGGCGACGGUUCAUUCAAAUUUCUGCCCUAUCAACUUUCGAUGGUAAGGUAUUGGCUUACCAUGGUUUCAACGGGUAACGGGGAAUUAGGGUUCGAUUCCGGAGAGGGAGCCUGAGAAACGGCUACCACAUCCAAGGAAGGCAGCAGGCGCGCAAAUUACCCAAUCCCGACACGGGGAGGUAGUGACAAUAAAUACUGAUACAGGGCUCUUUUGGGUCUUGUAAUUGGAAUGAGUACAAUUUAAACCCCUUAACGAGGAACAAUUGGAGGGCAAGUCUGGUGCCAGCAGCCGCGGUAAUUCCAGCUCCAAUAGCGUAUAUUAAAGUUGUUGCAGUUAAAAAGCUCGUAGUUGAAACUUGGGUCUGGCUAGCGGGUCCGCCUCACCGCGUGCACUUGUCCGGCUGGACCUUUCCUUCUGGAGAACCUCAUGCCCUUCACUGGGUGUGUUGGGGAACCAGGACUUUUACUUUGAAAAAAUUAGAGUGUUCAAAGCAGGCCUUUGCUCGAAUACGUUAGCAUGGAAUAAUAGAAUAGGACGUGCGGUCCUAUUUUGUUGGUUUCUAGGAUCGCCGUAAUGAUUAAUAGGGAUAGUCGGGGGCAUCAGUAUUCAAUUGUCAGAGGUGAAAUUCUUGGAUUUAUUGAAGACUAACUACUGCGAAAGCAUUUGCCAAGGAUGUUUUCAUUAAUCAGUGAACGAAAGUUAGGGGAUCGAAGACGAUCAGAUACCGUCGUAGUCUUAACCGUAAACUAUGCCGACUAGGGAUCGGGCGAUGUUUCUAUCUUGACUCGCUCGGCACCUUACGAGAAAUCAAAGUU
This 1004-nucleotide ribosomal RNA is filed under the name Sarimanas shirakamiense. Its description in RNAcentral is "SSU rRNA". It matches the Rfam family "Eukaryotic small subunit ribosomal RNA", at positions 93 to 1105 of the family's 1831-position model. The record is from RNAcentral. Lineage: Eukaryota; Fungi; Ascomycota; Dothideomycetes; Pleosporales; Melanommataceae.